Molecule: small RNA, 28 nt
Filed under: Bombyx mori (domestic silkworm)
Lineage: Eukaryota; Metazoa; Arthropoda; Insecta; Lepidoptera; Bombycidae
Description: ovarian small RNA-540
Source: RNAcentral
UGUCGGUGUGCUGACGUCGCAGUACAAA